UGCGGCGCAUUAGCUAGUUGGUGAGGUAGAAGCUUACCAAGGUAAUGAUGCGUAGCCGAUCUGAGAGGAUGACCGGCCACACUGGAACUGAGACACGGUCCAGACUCCUACGGGAGGCAGCAGUAGGGAAUUUUCGGCAAUGGGGGGAACCCUGACCGAGCAACGCCGCGUGAACGAAGAAGGCCUUCGGGUCGUAAAGUUUUGUUGUAUAGGACGAAAGGUGUAUAUAGGAAAUGAUAUACAAGUGACGGUACCAUAUUAGAAAGCCACGGCUAACUACGUGCCAGCAGCCGCGGUAAUACGUAGGUGGCAAGCGUUAUCCGGAAUUAUUGGGCGUAAAGGGUGAGUAGGCGGUUUAAAAAGUCUGCAGUUAAAGACGGUGGCUUAACCACCGGAUGCUGUGGAAACUGAUAGACUAGAGUACAGGAGAGGUUAACGGAAUUCCAUGUGUAGCGGUGAAAUGCGUAGAUAUAUGGAGGAACACCAGUGGCGAAGGCGGUUAACUGGACUGGGACUGACGCUGAGGCACGAAAGCGUGGGGAGCAAAUAGGAUUAGAUACCCUAGUAGUCCACGCUGUAAACGAUGAGUACUAAGUGUUGGGGAGACUCAGUGCUGAAGUAAACACAUUAAGUACUCCGCCUGGGGAGUACGCUCGCAAGAGUGAAACUCAAAGGAAUUGACGGGUGCCCGCACAAGCGGUGGAGCAUGUGGUUUAAUUCGACGCAACGCGAAGAACCUUACCAGGUCUUGACAUACCGACAAAGGCCCUAGAGAUAGGGAGAUAGAUAUGGCGGAUACAGGUGGUGCAUGGUUGUCG
Molecule: ribosomal RNA, 818 nt
Filed under: uncultured bacterium
Lineage: Bacteria
Description: bacterial SSU rRNA
Rfam family: Bacterial small subunit ribosomal RNA
Source: RNAcentral